GCAAUGUGUUAGAAAUUUCCAGCAGUAAAUAUGAGCUCUUAUGUACAAAAAAAUGUGCAAUCUGGUGAAGAAUGUGAGACCCGAGGCGUUUAACGAGACACUAAGUUGAAGUUUUAUUUGGAGACUAGAGGAGCAAGCAACAAGCUGAGUCGGCUGCAAGGAGAUCUGAUCGCUUUUACAAGCAAAGAAGGCUGAAGAACACAAGUGGUAUGAAAGCGUUGUCAAGUUGUGCUGUGUAAGCCUCCAACAAACCACUAAUUGUGACGGCUAGGAGAAGGGACAACCACCGCUCUGUCAAAAAAUAUCCAGUGGAUGCUAGAAGUGGAAGCAGAAUGGAACAAGCAGCCAGGACAGAUGUAAUACCAGCUGCUGUGCCUUCAAUGGUUUUCUUGCCAGUUUUGCUCCACCGAAGGACACCAUACUUGUGACCAACAACAGAUGCCAUUGUAUCUCCAAUUCCGAGACUCAGUAUUCCAGCAAAAGGUGCAAGUGGACGGUCA
RNAcentral lists this unclassified non-coding RNA (500 nucleotides) under Hevea brasiliensis (rubber tree). The record is from RNAcentral. Lineage: Eukaryota; Viridiplantae; Streptophyta; Magnoliopsida; Malpighiales; Euphorbiaceae.